RNAcentral lists this ribosomal RNA (250 nucleotides) under uncultured bacterium. Its description in RNAcentral is "partial 16S ribosomal RNA". It matches the Rfam family "Bacterial small subunit ribosomal RNA", at positions 524 to 772 of the family's 1533-position model. The record is from RNAcentral.
UACGGGGGGAGCAAGCGUUGUUCGGAUUUACUGGGCGUAAAGGGCGCGUAGGCGGUCAGCACAAGUCAGUUGUGAAAUCUCCGGGCUUAACUCGGAAAGGUCAACUGAUACUGUGCGACUAGAGUGCAGAAGGGGCAACUGGAAUUCUCGGUGUAGCGGUGAAAUGCGUAGAUAUCGAGAGGAACACCUGCGGCGAAGGCGGGUUGCUGGGCUGACACUGACGCUGAGGCGCGAAAGCCAGGGGAGCGAA